This 735-nucleotide ribosomal RNA is filed under the name uncultured Fusobacterium sp. RNAcentral describes it as "bacterial SSU rRNA". It matches the Rfam family "Bacterial small subunit ribosomal RNA", at positions 28 to 776 of the family's 1533-position model. Lineage: Bacteria; Fusobacteriati; Fusobacteriota; Fusobacteriia; Fusobacteriales; Fusobacteriaceae. The record is from RNAcentral.
GAUGAACGCUGACAGAAUGCUUAACACAUGCAAGUCAACUUGAAUUUGGGUUUUUAACUUAGGUUUGGGUGGCGGACGGGUGAGUAACGCGUAAAGAACUUGCCUCACAGCUAGGGACAACAUUUGGAAACGAAUGCUAAUACCUAAUAUUAUGAUAAUAGGGCAUCCUAUAAUUAUGAAAGCUAUAAGCGCUGUGAGAGAGCUUUGCGUCCCAUUAGCUAGUUGGAGAGGUAACGGCUCACCAAGGCGAUGAUGGGUAGCCGGCCUGAGAGGGUGAUCGGCCACAAGGGGACUGAGACACGGCCCUUACUCCUACGGGAGGCAGCAGUGGGGAAUAUUGGACAAUGGACCAAGAGUCUGAUCCAGCAAUUCUGUGUGCACGAUGAAGUUUUUCGGAAUGUAAAGUGCUUUCAGUUGGGAAGAAAGAAAUGACGGUACCAACAGAAGAAGUGACGGCUAAAUACGUGCCAGCAGCCGCGGUAAUACGUAUGUCACGAGCGUUAUCCGGAUUUAUUGGGCGUAAAGCGCGUCUAGGUGGUUAUGUAAGUCUGAUGUGAAAAUGCAGGGCUCAACUCUGUAUUGCGUUGGAAACUGUAUAACUAGAGUACUGGAGAGGUAAGCGGAACUACUAGUGUAGAGGUGAAAUUCGUAGAUAUUUGUAGGAAUGCCGAUGGGGAAGCCAGCUUACUGGACAGAUACUGACGCUGAAGCGCGAAAGCGUGGGUAGCAAACAGG